This 550-nucleotide long non-coding RNA is filed under the name Mus spicilegus (steppe mouse). Its description in RNAcentral is "lncRNA (ENSMSIG00000014698.1)". The record is from RNAcentral. Lineage: Eukaryota; Metazoa; Chordata; Mammalia; Rodentia; Muridae.
GUACCAUAUCUCUCUGGGUUGCAAGUCAAGGUUUACAAAUAUACAAAUUGAAAUAUUUCAACAUGAGAGAAGAGAGCCUGGAAGAAGUUGCCAGCCCUGUCACUUCCCUGAACGGCAAAUGUGGUCUCUCACUUCCUUAAUCCACAUUCAUUCCUGGGGCCCUCUUGUCUCUUAUAUCACUGUCCGUGCAGUUGGAAUAGGAGAAUAGUGGCUGGAGUCCCUGGUGAGAGAGAUGACUGUGUUCUGCGGUACAACAGAAUAUUACUAGGGCUGAUGAAGUGGUCUUUUGAUAAGGUCUUGCCUCUGAUCACACUAACUCUGACUUCAAGCCAGCAGCAGUCAUGAUAUGCCUAGAGGAUGGAAUCUUGCCAACAAUUUCACUGAUGGGGUUGCAUCGCACCAUCUUUCUAAACCCGUCAGUGUGAACAAUGGAAAAUACAUAUUUCGCUAUGCCAGGAAUCAACAAUGCUUAAAACCUAUUAUGAAGUUUUCAAGGUGUUCAAGAUGGAGGCAUGAUUACACAACUAGCCAAGUGCAUAGCCCAAUAAAG